CGUGUAGGCGGGCUUUUAAGUCAGGGGUGAAAUGCCGAGGCUCAACCUCGGAACUGCCUUUGAUACUGGAAGUCUUGAGUCCGGGAGAGGUGAGUGGAACUGCGAGUGUAGAGGUGAAAUUCGUAGAUAUUCGCAAGAACACCAGUGGCGAAGGCGGCUCACUGGCCCGGAACUGACGCUGAGACGCGAAAGCGUGGGGAGCAAACAGGAUUAGAUACCCUGGUAGUCCACGCUGUAAACGAUGGAUGCUAGCCGUUGGGGAGCUUGCUCUUCAGUGGCGCAGCUAACGCUUUAAGCAUCCCGCCUGGGGAGUACGGUCGCAAGAUUAAA
RNAcentral lists this ribosomal RNA (330 nucleotides) under uncultured bacterium. RNAcentral's name for it is "bacterial SSU rRNA". It matches the Rfam family "Bacterial small subunit ribosomal RNA", at positions 568 to 898 of the family's 1533-position model. The record is from RNAcentral.